UAAAUAAGAUAUUGUAGUAUAACUAUUUAUUUAUUAUUGAUAUUUUUAAAACAUUUUGUAAUUUAGUAAAGGUGAUUAAAAAUUAUUUUAUACUAUACCUUAGAUAAAGUACUGUGAAGGAAUAUUAUAUUAAUUUAAUUAAAGAAAAAAUUAAAAUUUGUACCUUUUGCAUCAUGGUUUAACUAGAUAUUUACUUUAUAAUUAAGUGUCUCGAAAUCUAAUGAGCUAUUUUUAUUCAUUAUAUUAGUAAUUUUAGACUAAUUGUAGCAAAAAUUUUCUUAGAAAUAAAAAUAGAAAUGAAAUUUUAUUCGUAUUAGAUGAUAGCUAGUUCUUCUUUAAAGGCAUAUAAGUGCUUUGAAUUGAUUUAAUUCCUAUAAGAUAAUAAUAGGAUAAAUUUUAAUUCAAUUAAAUUUUAGAGGAUAAUCUCUAAAAUUAUAAUUUAUAUUUGCAUAAUAAUUUUUUAUUAAAAUUUAAGCUUGAAAAUAGCUAAAAUAUUGAUUUUGUUGCAAUCUCAUUUCUUAAAAAAUAAAAUAAUUUAUUUGCUUAAAUAGGAAAGAAGAAAACUUUUUAAUUAAAACUAAGCUUAAUUCAUGUUAAUAUUAGUAUUAAGUACUUUAUAAAUUUUUAAUAUAAUACGAGUUAUAAAUUAUAACUUAUAUAAUAUCCCUAAAUCGAAAAAAGGAACUCGGCAAAUAUCACUACUCCGCCUGCUAUUUUCAAAACAUAGCUCCUUGUUUAAGUAAGAUAGGGAGUCGGACCUGCCCAGUGAAUUUUUUUAACGGCCGCGGUACUCUGACCGUGCAAAGGUAGCAUAAUCAUUUGCCUUAUAAUUGAAGGCUAGUAUGAAUGGUUUGACAAGAAUAUAGCUGUCUCUUUUUGAUUAAAUAGAAUUUUAUUUAUAGGUGAAGAAGCCUAUAUUUAAUUAAAAGACAAGAAGACCCUAUCGAGCUUUAGGUAAGUUAAUAAAUCAAAUAUAUUAAUAAAAUUAAAAAAUUUAAUAUUAAAAACUUUGGUUGGGGCGACUAAGGAACAAAUAAAGCUUCCUUUAAAAUAAAUAAAUUAUACAAAUAAUGAUCCAGAAAUAUUCUGAUUAAAGGAAUUAGUUACCGUAGGGAUAACAGCAUUAUCUUCUUUAAGAGUGCUUAUCGAAAAGAAGGUUUGUGACCUCGAUGUUGGACCAGAAUAUCCUAAAGAUGCAGCAGUCUUUAAGGGUUGGUCUGUUCGACCAUUAAAAUUCUACGUGAUCUGAGUUCAGACCGGCGUGAGCCAGGUCAGUUUCUAUCUUUA
This 1287-nucleotide ribosomal RNA is filed under the name Pisania striata. RNAcentral's name for it is "16S ribosomal RNA". The stretch from base 898 to 1287 matches the Rfam family "Bacterial large subunit ribosomal RNA", at positions 2048 to 2646 of the family's 2925-position model. Lineage: Eukaryota; Metazoa; Mollusca; Gastropoda; Neogastropoda; Buccinidae. The record is from RNAcentral.